Molecule: long non-coding RNA, 314 nt
Filed under: Homo sapiens (human)
Lineage: Eukaryota; Metazoa; Chordata; Mammalia; Primates; Hominidae
Description: non-protein coding lnc-ZCCHC7-6:1
Source: RNAcentral
GGGAAAGGGGCCCACGCAGUGCCUGGAGAGUCCCGCUGCGGGUCCCACGCGGGCUGGACCUCCCCACAGCGAUGCUGGGAUCCUGGGACGCUCUCAAGGCUUGAGAGCAGUCGAUUGAAGGGCUCUGAGACAACAAUCAAAGAAACUGGACCUUGAAAAGGAAGCGUGUGACAGUCAUUCUUCACCCAAGAAGCUAUAGUUCUGUGAGCCAUCUGGGCCCUGGCUCAAGAACGACGCUGAGGAUUCCCUUGCCCCAGCAACUCAUGGGAGUGGUCCGAAGACUCAAUUUCUAUUUCAUGAGUGAUGAUCCGCUA